GACGGAGGAGGCUAGCGUUGUUCGGAAUUACUGGGCGUAAAGCGUGCGUAGGCGGCUUGGUUAGUCGGAGGUGAAAUCCCGGGGCUCAACUCCGGAACUGCCUCCGAGACGGCCAGGCUUGAGUGAAGGAGAGGAGAGCGGAAUUCCCAGUGUAGAGGUGAAAUUCGUAGAUAUUGGGAAGAACACCGGUGGCGAAGGCGGCUCUCUGGCCUUUUUCUGACGCUGAGGCACGAAAGCGUGGGGAGCAAACAGG
RNAcentral lists this ribosomal RNA (253 nucleotides) under uncultured bacterium. RNAcentral's name for it is "partial 16S ribosomal RNA". It matches the Rfam family "Bacterial small subunit ribosomal RNA", at positions 524 to 776 of the family's 1533-position model. The record is from RNAcentral.